This 243-nucleotide ribosomal RNA is filed under the name uncultured bacterium. Its description in RNAcentral is "partial 16S ribosomal RNA". It matches the Rfam family "Bacterial small subunit ribosomal RNA", at positions 524 to 766 of the family's 1533-position model. The record is from RNAcentral.
UACGAGGGGGGCAAAUGUUGUUCGGAAUCACUGGGCGUAAAGGGCGCGUAGGCGGCCUGCUAAGUCGAACGUGAAAUCCCCGGGCUCAACCUGGGAACUGCAUUUGUGACUGCAUCGCUGGAGUACGGCAGAGGGGGAUGGAAUUCCGCGUGUAGCAGUGAAAUGCGUAGAUAUGCGGAGGAACACCGAUGGCGAAGGCAAUCCCCUGGACCUGUACUGACGCUCAUGCACGAAAGCGUGGGG